Molecule: long non-coding RNA, 217 nt
Filed under: Lathyrus oleraceus (garden pea)
Lineage: Eukaryota; Viridiplantae; Streptophyta; Magnoliopsida; Fabales; Fabaceae
Description: Pisum sativum (pea) long non-coding RNA (PSAT_LNC013001)
Source: RNAcentral
UUAAAUAGUGUGUGUUUCUUGGUGUGUUUCUUUAAUUCAAUCCAAGCCAUCAGUUCAAAUUAAUCAAUGGUCUAUGUUAAGCAAUCCACACUUAUCCUAAUUUAUCCAAUCAAAAAUUAGGAUUUAAUUAAUACUAUUAUUUAAAAAAACUGAAAAUAAAUAAAAUUAAAAAAUACUCUCUCAUCACCAACGGUAACAAAGGAAAAAAAGAAAGAAA